This 253-nucleotide ribosomal RNA is filed under the name uncultured bacterium. RNAcentral's name for it is "partial 16S ribosomal RNA". It matches the Rfam family "Bacterial small subunit ribosomal RNA", at positions 524 to 776 of the family's 1533-position model. The record is from RNAcentral.
UACGUAGGAGGCAAGCGUUGUCCGGAAUCACUGGGCGUAAAGCGCGUGUAGGUGGAAGAGGAAGUCUGCUGUGAAAGCGCCUGGCUUAACCGGGCGAGGUCGGUGGAAACUCCUCAUCUAGAGGUCGGUAGAGGGGGGUGGAAUUCCGGGUGUAGUGGUGAAAUGCGUAGAGAUCCGGAGGAACACCUGUGGCGAAGGCGGCCCCCUGGGCCGCGCCUGACGCUGAGACGCGAAAGCGCGGGGAGCGAACGGG